CCUACGGGUGGCAGCAGUAGGGAAUAUUGCACAAUGGGGGAAACCCUUAUGCAGCAACGCCGCGUGGGGGAUGAAGGUUUUCGGAUUGUAAACUUCUGUCGUUGGGGAAGAUAAUGACGGUAUCUAAGGAAUAAGCCCCGGCUAACUCCGUGCCAGCAGCCGCGGUAAUACGGAGGGGGCAAGCGUUGCCCGGAAUUACUGGGCGUAAAGGGCGCGUAGGCGGGAUGGCAAGUCAGAUGUGAAAUUCUAGGGCUUAACUCUUGAACUGCUUUUGAAACUGUUAUUCUAGAGUAUGGUAGAGGUAGGCGGAAUUCCUGGUGUAGGGGUAAAAUCCGUAGAGAUAUAGAAGAAUACUCGUGGCGAAGGCGACUCGCUAGAACGUAACUGACGCUGAUGUGCGAAAGCGUGGGGAGCAAACAGGAUUAGAUACCCGGGUAGUC
This 440-nucleotide ribosomal RNA is filed under the name uncultured bacterium. RNAcentral describes it as "partial 16S ribosomal RNA". It matches the Rfam family "Bacterial small subunit ribosomal RNA", at positions 338 to 795 of the family's 1533-position model. The record is from RNAcentral.